Molecule: ribosomal RNA, 1528 nt
Filed under: Kitasatospora cineracea
Lineage: Bacteria; Bacillati; Actinomycetota; Actinomycetes; Kitasatosporales; Streptomycetaceae
Description: bacterial LSU rRNA
Rfam family: Bacterial large subunit ribosomal RNA
Source: RNAcentral
GGACGUGGUGGAGCCGGUGACCCAACGGGGUAGUAGGUGAGCGAUGGGGUGACGCAGGAAGGUAGUCCAGCCCGGCGGUGGUAGUCCCGGGGUAAGGGUGUAGGACGUUGCGUAGGCAAAUCCGCGCAACACGUGUCUGAGACCUGAUGCCGAGCCGAUUGUGGUGAAGUGGAUGAUCCUAUGCUGUCGAGAAAAGCCUCUAGCGAGUUUCAUGGCGGCCCGUACCCCAAACCGACUCAGGUGGUCAGGUAGAGAAUACCGAGGCGUUCGGGUGAACUGUGGUUAAGGAACUCGGCAAAAUGCCCCCGUAACUUCGGGAGAAGGGGGGCCAUUGCUGGUGACGGGACUUGCUCCCCGAGCUGGUGGUGGCCGCAGAGACCAGCGAGAAGCGACUGUUUACUAAAAACACAGGUCCGUGCGAAGCCGUAAGGCGAUGUAUACGGACUGACGCCUGCCCGGUGCUGGAACGUUAAGGGGACCGGUUAGUCCGAUUUCGGUCGGGCGAAGCUGAGAACUUAAGCGCCAGUAAACGGCGGUGGUAACUAUAACCAUCCUAAGGUAGCGAAAUUCCUUGUCGGGUAAGUUCCGACCUGCACGAAUGGCGUAACGACUUCUCGACUGUCUCAACCACAGGCCCGGUGAAAUUGCAUUACGAGUAAAGAUGCUCGUUUCGCGCAGCAGGACGGAAAGACCCCGGGACCUUUACUAUAGCUUGAUAUUGGUGUUCGGUUCGGCUUGUGUAGGAUAGGUGGGAGACUGUGAAGCAGCAACGCCAGUUGUUGUGGAGUCGCCGUUGAAAUACCACUCUGGUCGUGCUGGAUGUCUAACCUGGGUCCGUGAUCCGGAUCAGGGACAGUGUCUGGUGGGUAGUUUAACUGGGGCGGUUGCCUCCUAAAGGGUAACGGAGGCGCCCAAAGGUUCCCUCAGCCUGGUUGGCAAUCAGGUGUUGAGUGUAAGUGCACAAGGGAGCUUGACUGUGAGACUGACGGGUCGAGCAGGUACGAAAGUAGGGACUAGUGAUCCGGCGGUGGCUUGUGGAAGCGCCGUCGCUCAACGGAUAAAAGGUACCCCGGGGAUAACAGGCUGAUCUUCCCCAAGAGUCCAUAUCGACGGGAUGGUUUGGCACCUCGAUGUCGGCUCGUCGCAUCCUGGGGCUGGAGUAGGUCCCAAGGGUUGGGCUGUUCGCCCAUUAAAGCGGUACGCGAGCUGGGUUUAGAACGUCGUGAGACAGUUCGGUCCCUAUCCGCUGUGCGCGUAGGAGUGUUGAGAAGGGCUGUCCCUAGUACGAGAGGACCGGGACGGACGAACCUCUGGUGUGCCAGUUGUCCUGCCAAGGGCAUGGCUGGUUGGCUACGUUCGGGAGGGAUAACCGCUGAAAGCAUCUAAGCGGGAAGCCUGCUUCGAGAUGAGCACUCCCACCUCCUUGAGAGGGUAAGGCUCCCAGUAGACGACUGGGUUGAUAGGCCGGAUAUGGAAGCCCUGUGAGGGGUGGAGUUGACCGGUACUAAUAGGCCGAGGGCUUGUCCUC